RNAcentral lists this non-coding RNA (106 nucleotides) under Bacillus sp. (in: firmicutes). RNAcentral's name for it is "Bacillus sp. SAM-I sequence". It matches the Rfam family "SAM riboswitch aptamer (S box leader)". From Rfam's summary of the family: The SAM riboswitch is found upstream of a number of genes which code for proteins involved in methionine or cysteine biosynthesis in Gram-positive bacteria. The SAM riboswitch acts at the level of transcription termination control. RNAcentral also lists the same sequence under 1 other name. The record is from RNAcentral. Lineage: Bacteria; Bacillati; Bacillota; Bacilli; Caryophanales; Bacillaceae.
UUCUUAUCAAGAGAGAUGGAGGAACUGGUCCAAUGAAAUCUCGGCAAAAGGCCCUUUUAAGAGUACUGUGCCAAUUCCAGCGAACAAAUGGUUCGAGAGAUAAGAA